CCAGGCAUUAGCAAAGCCGAGCAUGCUGACUAGAAGAGACUUGCUGGUGAUAUUUUAGCCUAGUCAAGUGAUGGCCUCUGACCACAAAGAACAUUGGCUGGGGCUCUUUCAAAUUAUCCAAGGGAUUUUCAGCUGAGUCGUUUCUCUGUUCUCCCACUUGGAGUCAUUUGAUACCCAUUUCAGAGCCAUCCCUUGUAAAGAGAACUUCAAAAUGUCAAGGAGAAUUCACUACCUACAGAAUGGAAAGACCACGUGAGGACACAGUGAGGAGGCAGCC
Sapajus apella (tufted capuchin) is the source of this 277-nucleotide long non-coding RNA. RefSeq lists it as uncharacterized. NCBI's taxonomy places the organism in Eukaryota, Metazoa, Chordata, Mammalia, Primates, Cebidae. The transcript has 4 exons. The record is from RefSeq and is a predicted model, not a curated record.